UACGAAGGGGGCUAGCGUUGCUCGGAAUUACUGGGCGUAAAGGGCGCGUAGGCGGUUGUGUUAGUCAGGCGUGAAAUUCCUGGGCUUAACCUGGGGGCUGCGCUUGAUACGGCAUGACUUGAGGAUGGAAGAGGCUCGUGGAAUUCCCAGUGUAGAGGUGAAAUUCGUAGAUAUUGGGAAGAACACCGGUGGCGAAGGCGGCGAGCUGGUCCAUUACUGACGCUGAGGCGCGACAGCGUGGGGAGCAAACAGG
This 253-nucleotide ribosomal RNA is filed under the name uncultured bacterium. RNAcentral describes it as "partial 16S ribosomal RNA". It matches the Rfam family "Bacterial small subunit ribosomal RNA", at positions 524 to 776 of the family's 1533-position model. The record is from RNAcentral.